UACGGGAGGCAGCAGUGGGGAAUAUUGCACAAUGGGCGCAAGCCUGAUGCAGCCAUGCCGCGUGUAUGAAGAAGGCCUUCGGGUUGUAAAGUACUUUCAGUCGUGAGGAAGGUGUUAAGGUUAAUAACCUUAGCAAUUGACGUUAGCGACAGAAGAAGCACCGGCUAACUCCGUGCCAGCAGCCGCGGUAAUACGGAGGGUGCGAGCGUUAAUCGGAAUUACUGGGCGUAAAGGGCACGCAGGCGGUUAAUUAAGUUGGAUGUGAAAUCCCCGGGCUUAACCUGGGAAUGGCAUUCAAGACUGGUUAGCUAGAGUCUUGUAGAGGGGGUAGAAUUCCAUGUGUAGCGGUGAAAUGCGUAGAGAUGUGGAGGAAUACCGGUGGCGAAGGCGGCCCCUGGACAAAAACUGACGCUCAUGUGCGAAAGCGUGGGGAGCAAAACAGGGAUUAGAUACC
This 454-nucleotide ribosomal RNA is filed under the name uncultured bacterium. RNAcentral's name for it is "bacterial SSU rRNA". It matches the Rfam family "Bacterial small subunit ribosomal RNA", at positions 340 to 786 of the family's 1533-position model. The record is from RNAcentral.